Salvia splendens (bonfire salvia) is the source of this 204-nucleotide long non-coding RNA. RefSeq lists it as uncharacterized. Lineage: Eukaryota; Viridiplantae; Streptophyta; Magnoliopsida; Lamiales; Lamiaceae. The transcript has 3 exons. The record is from RefSeq and is a predicted model, not a curated record.
UGCAACUCUGUGAAACUGAAAGUGUAUCAUACCUGGAUGAGGUGGCCAGCAACACAACAAUUCAAAAUAUGGCAAAGUCUGUUGGACUCGAGGUUCUUGCAUUGCUGGUAAAAGCUUGGAAUAGAUUCAAGACAGGUACUGGCUGCAGUCAUUACGGCAGGUGCUUCUAGAGAGCAUGAAAUCCUAGCUGAAAUAAGAGAUGCU